UACGUAGGGACCAAGCGUUGUUCGGAUUUACUGGGCGUAAAGGGCGCGUAGGCGGCAAUUCAAGUCAUCUGUGAAAUCUCCGGGCUUAACCCGGAACGGUCAGAUGAUACUGCUUUGCUAGAGUGCGGAAGGGGCAAUCGGAAUUCUCGGUGUAGCGGUGGAAUGCGCAGAUAUCAGGAGGAACACCGAUGGCGAAGGCAGGUCUCUGGGCCAUUACUGACACUGAGAAGCGAAAGCAUGGGGAGCGAACAGG
RNAcentral lists this ribosomal RNA (253 nucleotides) under uncultured bacterium. RNAcentral's name for it is "partial 16S ribosomal RNA". It matches the Rfam family "Bacterial small subunit ribosomal RNA", at positions 524 to 776 of the family's 1533-position model. The record is from RNAcentral.